UUUCUCUCUUUACAGAACUGUUUUGAGCAGGUAGUUUCUGCUUGGAAAGGCUGCUGUUUUGGUUACAGAAUUUGCAUUUCCUUCUCUGAAUAAGGUUUCCAGCUGUCCUUCACAAUCAUACUGGACAAUCUGGCCACACUGCUAAGCCUUUCCAGACCAUCGGAUCUCUCAACCUGAUACUUUCUAGCUGCUGAUGCCAGAAGAUUCCUGCCCAAGCACUGGGUGAGUUCCUCCCCUUCCUGCUGGAGGAAGCAUCAAAGGCA
Long non-coding RNA from Bombina bombina (fire-bellied toad), 263 nucleotides. RefSeq lists it as uncharacterized. The record is from RefSeq and is a predicted model, not a curated record. The transcript is spliced from 4 exons. Lineage: Eukaryota; Metazoa; Chordata; Amphibia; Anura; Bombinatoridae.